RNAcentral lists this ribosomal RNA (254 nucleotides) under uncultured bacterium. Its description in RNAcentral is "partial 16S ribosomal RNA". It matches the Rfam family "Bacterial small subunit ribosomal RNA", at positions 524 to 777 of the family's 1533-position model. The record is from RNAcentral.
UACGGAGGGUGCAAGCGUUAUCCGGAUUCACUGGGUUUAAAGGGUGCGUAGGUGGGUUGGUAAGUCAGUGGUGAAAUCUCCGAGCUUAACUUGGAAACUGCCAUUGAUACUAUCAGUCUUGAAUAUUGUGGAGGUCAGCGGAAUAUGUCAUGUAGCGGUGAAAUGCUUAGAUAUGACAUAGAACACCAAUUGCGAAGGCAGCUGGCUACGCAUAUAUUGACACUGAGGCACGAAAGCGUGGGGAUCAAACAGGA